This 478-nucleotide ribosomal RNA is filed under the name uncultured organism. RNAcentral's name for it is "partial 16S ribosomal RNA". It matches the Rfam family "Bacterial small subunit ribosomal RNA", at positions 332 to 801 of the family's 1533-position model. The record is from RNAcentral.
UACACUCCUGCGGGAGGCAGCAGUGGGGAAUAUUGCACAAUGGGCGCAAGCCUGAUGCAGCCAUGCCGCGUGUAUGAAGAAGGCCUUCGGGUUGUAAAGUACUUUCAGCGGGGAGGAAGGCAAUACGGUUAAUAACCGUGUUGAUUGACGUUACCCGCAGAAGAAGCACCGGCUAACUCCGUGCCAGCAGCCGCGGUAAUACGGAGGGUGCAAGCGUUAAUCGGAAUUACUGGGCGUAAAGCGCACGCAGGCGGUCUGUCAAGUCGGAUGUGAAAUCCCCGGGCUCAACCUGGGAACUGCAUUCGAAACUGGCAGGCUUGAGUCUUGUAGAGGGGGGUAGAAUUCCAGGUGUAGCGGUGAAAUGCGUAGAGAUCUGGAGGAAUACCGGUGGCGAAGGCGGCCCCCUGGACAAAGACUGACGCUCAGGUGCGAAAGCGUGGGGAGCAAACAGGAUUAGAAACCCGGGUAGUCCCAUGAU